Molecule: small RNA, 127 nt
Filed under: Marmota monax (woodchuck)
Lineage: Eukaryota; Metazoa; Chordata; Mammalia; Rodentia; Sciuridae
Source: RNAcentral
GCUGGGUGUGGUGGUGCAUGCCUGUAAUCCCAGAAGCUUGGGAGGCUGAGACAGGAGGAUCACCAGUUCAAAGCCAGCCUCAGCAAUUUAGUGAGAUGCUAAGCAGCUCAGUGAGACCCUGUCUCUA